This 1603-nucleotide long non-coding RNA is filed under the name Pan troglodytes (chimpanzee). Its description in RNAcentral is "bidirectional promoter lncRNA". The record is from RNAcentral. Lineage: Eukaryota; Metazoa; Chordata; Mammalia; Primates; Hominidae.
GCGAGCGCUCCAGGGCGGGCUUGGAAAUGGAGACAAACUCCUCCGAGCCGUUGACGCUCAGCCGGACAGGGCUUAGGAGUCCCGAGCCCAGUCCUGUUCACCCCCAUUUUAUAGAAAGGGAAACUGAGGCCCAGACAGGGGAAAGUCACUUGCCGAGGUGUUUACUGCAGACUGCGUUGACCGAACCUGCUUUUUCACAGCAGUCAGACAGCAAGCCCUCUCGUCCCUCCAGGACCCUAGUUCCUGGGGAGGAAGGCGUUCUCAGCGAUAAUGACCAGCAUUAAAGUGCUCCCCGUUACCGGCGUCACUGCCCCAGCCAGUGGAGGCCCCGGAGAGGGACUGAAGAUGUGUCACCUAACUUCUCUGAACCUUCCUCCCUCAAGGAGAACUGAUAAUCCCUAACUCACAGUUCUGUGAGGAUUGAAUGCUUUAAGCAUGCAGGUUAAGUGGCUACUGAAGGCAGUUUUUGUGGACAGAUGAUUUGGGAGCCUGGAGGAAGGGUUACGUGCGCGCGCGCGUGUGUGCGUGUGUGUGUGUGUGUGUGUGCGUGUGUGUAAGAAUCCUUCCGUAAGAGGACAUCUGAGGUGUCUUAGGAGAGUAGGAGUGGACAACAGCAUCCAGGCAGAAGGAGCAGCUUCCCAAGGAUAGAAGGUGGAGCAGCCUGGCCAGCAGGGAUCUGAAGCCCAGAGAGAGGAAGCCACUGGCUCCAAGUCACAGAGCAGAAACUGGUCCCAGCGUCAGAUCUGCGAUGCUGCCCAGGCAUGGUGGUGACCCUCUCUAAACAAGCACACUCAGAAUUUCCCUGGCUCAGCUGGGCGACUCAGAAGAAAACUGGCCAUCAGCUUCUGCCUCAAGCGGGUGCUGUGGCAAGGAAGACAGAGCAUGUGUGUUGUGAACACUCAUUAUAGGAUCAUCCCUGCUGUGCCAGGUGCCUGGUGCUGGAUGCAGAAAGCAGGACACAUGGAAAGAUGGUGUGUUCACAAAGAAUUUGGAAGAAAGCCAGAUGGUGACAAGAGUGUGUCUCUGAAUGCCCCUUUUGGGGGUCACUAAAAAUGCCCCAGGGUUUUUAGUUAGACCAAUAAGGAGGCUUCAAAGAAAUGACAUCUGAGCCGGGUUGUGAUACAUCUAGGAUGUCAACAGGCAGAGAAAGGGCAGGGACUGGGAGUAAGGAAAGAACAUCUGUUCAAGGCACAACACUGAUUACCAAAGUUUCUAUCAUCCUUAUGUUGACAACGGACAUAAUUUUAACCUUUUGUAUAAGCCAGACUGUGAAGGAUUAUUAGCAGAAUAAAAGCAUCUAUUGGGCCUGGUGCAGUGGCUCACGCCUGUAAUCCAAGCACUUUGGGAGGCCGAGGCGGGCGGAUCACCUGAGGUUGGGAGUUAGAGACCAGCCUGACCAACAUGGAGAAACUCUGUCUCUACUAAAAAUACCAAAGUAGCCGAGCGUGGUGGCGCAUGCCUGUAAUCUCAGCUACUCGGGAGGCUGAGGCAGGAGAAUCGCUUGAACCCAGGAGGCGGAGGUUGCGGUGAGCCGAGAUCGUGCCAUUGCACUCCAGCCUGGGCAACAAGAGCAAAAACUCUGUCUCAAAAAAAAAAAAAAAAA